Molecule: ribosomal RNA, 426 nt
Filed under: Burkholderia sp. CB22
Lineage: Bacteria; Pseudomonadati; Pseudomonadota; Betaproteobacteria; Burkholderiales; Burkholderiaceae
Description: bacterial SSU rRNA
Rfam family: Bacterial small subunit ribosomal RNA
Source: RNAcentral
GACGGCAGCACGGGGGCAACCCUGGUGGCGAGUGGCGAACGGGUGAGUAAUACAUCGGAACGUGUCCUGUAGUGGGGGAUAGCCCGGCGAAAGCCGGAUUAAUACCGCAUACGAUCUACGGAAGAAAGCGGGGGAUCCUUCGGGACCUCGCGCUAUAGGGGCGGCCGAUGGCAGAUUAGCUAGUUGGUGGGGUAAAGGCCUACCAAGGCGACAAUCUGUAGCUGGUCUGAGAGGACGACCAGCCACGCUGGGACUGAGACACGGCCCACACUCCUACGGGAGGCAUCAGUGGGGAAUUUUGGACAAUGGGGGAAACCCUGAUCCAGCAAUGCCGCGUGUGUGAAGAAGGCCUUCGGGUUGUAAAGCACUUUUGUCCGGAAAGAAAACCUUCGCUCUAAUACAGUGGGGGGAUGACGGUACCGGAAG